This is a long non-coding RNA of Acanthopagrus latus (yellowfin seabream), 772 nucleotides long. RefSeq lists it as uncharacterized. The record is from RefSeq and is a predicted model, not a curated record. Lineage: Eukaryota; Metazoa; Chordata; Actinopteri; Spariformes; Sparidae. The transcript has 3 exons.
CCUGUUCGUCACAUGCCCAUUUUAAGGAUUGGGCCUUUGAACAGUAACACUCAGGGGAACUGCCAUAAAACCGAUUAUUUUCCAAAACGCUUCCAACCGUGAUCAAUAAUCGCUGACUCAGUAUGGAGUCCAGCACGAUACCGGACUGUCCUCGCCUCGGCCCCCGGUGAGCAAUAUCUCUAUAUUCAGCAUCGGGGACAGCGGAGAAGGGCCGGGCCAAUGGAUGACACCACUGCCUGUCUUCAACCACUGAUGGUGCAUUCCGUUUAGCUCGGAAGUUGGAUCACAAGGCCAGGAAUGAUGUCACAUCCCAGCUGACCGCCAUCCAGUAACGAGCUGGUAAAAAGUCGGAAGAGUUAGCGAUCAGUGUUGAAGCACUGUUUGGUAAUACCCGCCGAUAACGACACACCAGGUGAUAUUUUGGGCGUGAAACACAGUAACAACAUGCCCACAGAUCGAAGUUGCACAUGUAUGACUGAUUUAACGGCACAAAAACAAGACUAAAUGGCUGAACGAGCAACUUUAACUUACUGUUGAUGCACAGAGCAGCCAUCUUGGAUUUUUCGAGUCAGAUUUCCGGGUUUGGAAGGAGGGUUUCUGAUGACGUUUCCAUAUGGGAUUUUAGAAUCCUUGAGCCCUGUGCUGUCAUAACCUUGUGAUAGAAAAAAAGGGGCCUCACCAUAGAGCGCAAACAAGUAAUGUGUCCCCUCAGUGUCUUUUUAAAGCUGCCCUGUGAGGUGAGCUAGUAACUUGGCUUCAUGGGUGGCGGCAG